RNAcentral lists this ribosomal RNA (274 nucleotides) under uncultured bacterium. Its description in RNAcentral is "partial 16S ribosomal RNA". It matches the Rfam family "Bacterial small subunit ribosomal RNA", at positions 523 to 796 of the family's 1533-position model. The record is from RNAcentral.
AUACGGAGGCUGCAAGCGUUACUCGGAAUCACUGGGCGUAAAGGACGCGUAGGCGGAUUGGAAAGUCAGAUGUGAAAUCCUACAGCUUAACUGUAGAACUGCAUUUGAAACUUCUAAUCUGGAGUAUGGGAGGGGGAGAUGGAAUUAGUGGUGUAGGGGUAAAAUCCGUAGAUAUCACUAGGAAUACCGAAAGCGAAGGCGAUCUCCUGGAACAUAACUGACGCUAAGGCGUGAAAGCGUGGGGAGCAAACGGGAUUAGAAACCCUAGUAGUCC